UACGUAGGGGGCAAGCGUUGUCCGGAAUCAUUGGGCGUAAAGAGCGUGUAGGCGGUCCGGUAAGUCGGCUGUGAAAGUCCAGGGCUCAACCCUGGGAUGCCGGUCGAUACUGCCGGACUAGAGUUCGGAAGAGGCGAGUGGAAUUCCCGGUGUAGCGGUGAAAUGCGCAGAUAUCGGGAGGAACACCUAUGGCGAAGGCAGCUCGCUGGGACGUUACUGACGCUGGAGACGCGAAAGCGUGGGGAGCAAACAGG
This 254-nucleotide ribosomal RNA is filed under the name uncultured bacterium. RNAcentral describes it as "partial 16S ribosomal RNA". It matches the Rfam family "Bacterial small subunit ribosomal RNA", at positions 524 to 776 of the family's 1533-position model. The record is from RNAcentral.